RNAcentral lists this ribosomal RNA (785 nucleotides) under uncultured Neocallimastigales. RNAcentral describes it as "partial large subunit ribosomal RNA". It matches the Rfam family "Eukaryotic large subunit ribosomal RNA", at positions 24 to 614 of the family's 3401-position model. Lineage: Eukaryota; Fungi; Neocallimastigomycota; Neocallimastigomycetes; Neocallimastigales. The record is from RNAcentral.
UAUCUCUGUAGAGUCUGCAUAUCAAUAAGCGGAGGAAAAGAAACUAACAAGGAUUCCCCUUAGUAACGGCGAGUGAAGCGGGAAGAGCUCAAAUUUGAAAUCUUCAAGGGUUUACCUUUACGAAUUGUAGUUUAAAGAAGUGUUUUCUGUUGGAAGUUUCGGUAAAAGUUCUUUGGAAUAGGUACAUCAUAGAGGGUGAGAAUCCCGUAUUUGACCGUUACUUUUCAGCUGUGUGAUACACUUUCAAAGAGUCGGAUUGUUUGGGAAUGCAGUCCAAAAUGGGUGGUAAAUUUCAUCUAAAGCUAAAUAUUCGGCGAGAGACCGAUAGCGAACAAGUACCGUGAGGGAAAGAUGAAAAGAACUUUGAAAAGAGAGUUAAACAGUACGUGAAAUUGUCAAAAGGGAAGCGUUUGACACCAGUGUUGUUUCCGUCGAAAAUCAAUUAAAUAAUGUCUUGAUUUUGUAGUUAGUAUUGACCUUCAUAAGCUUGCUGCUCUCUUUUUCAUGUCUUUUUUAAUGCACUUUUCGUUUAACAAGUCAACAUCAGUUUCUUUUGUUGUAAAAAGGUCAUUGGAAGGUGGCUUUCUUUUCGGAGAAAGUGUUUAUAGCCUUUGACUCCUGCAAUCGGAGAGACUGAGGUCCGCAGCGUAGAUCCUUUUGGAUUAGAUUCAUUUGUGCUAAGUUAUAGCUUUUUAUAGACAACAUGUUGACUAUAUUUAGUCUUGUAACUUACUCGCUUAUGUAAUUUUACCUACGCUUAGGAUGUUGAACGCGCACAGAGUCUC